CAGAGUUAUACAACUCCCAUACCAUUUGCCAACUUACUCAGUUAUGCCUCGGCGUAAGCUCCGUACGGGGCUGCUGGGUGCGUUGCGGGCGACAGCUACCCUGUAGCUUACCCUGUAGCGCUACCCUGUAGCGUACCCUGCGGCGGCCCGCCGGUGGAAACGAAACUCUUGUUUUAUUGUAUCGUCUGAGCGUCUUAUUUUAAUAAGUUA
This 210-nucleotide unclassified non-coding RNA is filed under the name uncultured Arthrinium. Its description in RNAcentral is "sequence contains ITS1". The record is from RNAcentral. Lineage: Eukaryota; Fungi; Ascomycota; Sordariomycetes; Amphisphaeriales; Apiosporaceae.